UGGACUUCUCUUUUCCCAAGCCGCUCUACUGUCGCCUUCUCCUUCCUCUCUCCACACACACACACAGAUAGAAAGACAUAGACUCCAUGGCAAUGGCCUCCUCCACCUUCUUCACACUCGAAUGCUUGACACAGCCACACAGGCAGCCCUAGGUCCCCUUUCUCUUCUCUCUUCAGCCACAUGGCAAGAUCAACGGCAGCGAGCCUCGUCUUUGGAUUCCUCCUCCUGCUCUGCGCCAUCACCUGCUCAAUGGCGGCCAGCAGCGCAGGCAGCGAAGAGCAGGAGGCUGACAGGGUGGCCCACCUCCCGGGGCAGCCGGAGAGCCCAGGCGUCACGCAGUUCUCCGGCUACGUCACCGUCGACGAGCGGCACGGCAGGGCGCUCUUCUACUGGUUCUUCCAGGCGCAGGCCUCGCCCGAGCAGAAGCCCCUCUUCCUCUGGCUCAAUGGAGGACCUGGUUGCUCAUCGAUUGGCUAUGGAGCUGCAUCUGAGCUAGGGCCUCUCAGAGUUGUGAAACAGGGACAAGCACUGGAGUUCAACAAAUAUGCUUGGAACCAAGAGGCUAACUUGCUUUUCUUGGAGUCCCCUGCUUGGGUUGGCUUCUCCUACACCAACACAUCCUCUGACCUUAGCAAAUUGGAUGAUGACUUUGUAGCGGAGGAUUCUUACAGUUUCCUGGUAAAUUGGUUCAAGAGGUUUCCUCAGUACAAGGGCAGAGAGUUCUACAUAUCAGGAGAGAGCUAUGCAGGUCACUAUGUGCCACAACUUGCUGAUCUUGUCUAUGAGAGGAACAAGGACAAGAUGUCCAACAUAUACAUCAACCUCAAGGGCUUCAUGGUUGGAAACCCUAUCACCGAUGAUCACUACGAUUCAAAAGGGCUGGCUGAGUAUGCCUGGAGCCACACAGUCGUGUCGGACCAAGUUUAUGAGCGUAUCAACACAAAAUGUGACUUCAAGACCUCCAACUGGACUGAUGACUGCAAUGCCGCCAUGAACGUUAUCUUUGGGCAGUACCGCGAGAUUGACAUAUACAACAUCUAUGCCCCUAAGUGCCUCUUGGAUCUGAACUCAUCAUCUUCUACAGAUCGACCAUUCUUUGUGAGUAAUCAGGAGGCACAAUUCGGGAAGCGAAGACGGAUAUUUUCAGGCUAUGAUCCAUGCUACUCGUCCUAUGCUCAGGACUACUUCAACAGGAAAGAAUUGCAAAAAGCAUUCCAUGCAAAUGUCAGUGGAUCCCUUCCAGGGAAGUAUCAAGUCUGCAGUGACCCCAUCCUGAACUCAUACAAUUUCUCGGUGUUCUCGGUGCUACCGAUCUACUUCAAACUUAUCAAGGCAGGGCUGAGAAUCUGGCUCUACAGCGGCGAUGCGGAUGGCAGGGUACCGGUGAUUGGCUCCCGGUACUGCGUAGAAGCCCUCGGCCUACCGAUCAAGACCCCAUGGCAGCCCUGGUACCUUGAAAAGCAGGUCGCUGGGAGGUUUGUGGAAUAUGAUGGCAUGAGCAUGGUGACUGUCAGAGGGGCAGGCCACCUAGUGCCCCUCAACAAGCCAGCUGAAGGGCUCAAGUUGAUAAAUGCGUUCCUUCGCGGUGAGCAGCUUCCGACGCACCGGUGAUUCAGGGUUGAUUACCACCACAUCAGCAAUCCCAUCCCGAAAACAAGAUUUCAGCACUAAGAACCCAGCGCUGCCUUCCCGGGCCGCCACCGCCGACUCAACUGCCCGCGCAGCACCUCCCUGCGGUGACCGCUCUGGAUACGCGUCGGCGCCGGAUUAGAUUCCCGUGCAAGAGACGAGCAAAGGGGUCCAGGGCUGACCGGCGCUAUCCACCGCCGUGCGGUUCCUCGUGCACUGUGCCACCGCGUGCUCCGUGACCUUCUUCUGACGCCAGCCACAGCCGGCGGGCGGCUUGGACUGGGUGCCAUGUCCGUGGCCGCGACUGCUAGCAUCAACCCCGAGAUCAUUUUGAUUGAAUGUCCAAUUAUAUUGUUAUGUUUUGUAUAAACAUGAAUUUUCGCGUGCACAUGUUUAAGAGGCCGUGGCAACGCACGGGCACUGUACUAGUCUAUUGUAAAAAAACUUAUCACCUCCUUCUAACGCAAACAAUUAAAUCUAUUACAUAAUCAAGAUAGGGGUGAUGUUUUCCAUCAAAA
Brachypodium distachyon (stiff brome) is the source of this 2147-nucleotide RNA transcript. It is a transcript of the gene named serine carboxypeptidase-like 26, with no coding region annotated. Lineage: Eukaryota; Viridiplantae; Streptophyta; Magnoliopsida; Poales; Poaceae. The transcript has 11 exons. The record is from RefSeq and is a predicted model, not a curated record.